RNAcentral lists this ribosomal RNA (1100 nucleotides) under Acinetobacter sp. M522. RNAcentral describes it as "bacterial SSU rRNA". It matches the Rfam family "Bacterial small subunit ribosomal RNA", at positions 28 to 1120 of the family's 1533-position model. The record is from RNAcentral. Lineage: Bacteria; Pseudomonadati; Pseudomonadota; Gammaproteobacteria; Moraxellales; Moraxellaceae.
AUUGAACGCUGGCGGCAGGCUUAACACAUGCAAGUCGAGCGGAGUGAUGGUGCUUGCACUAUCACUUAGCGGCGGACGGGUGAGUAAUGCUUAGGAAUCUGCCUAUUAGUGGGGGACAACAUCUCGAAAGGGAUGCUAAUACCGCAUACGUCCUACGGGAGAAAGCAGGGGAUCACUUGUGACCUUGCGCUAAUAGAUGAGCCUAAGUCGGAUUAGCUAGUUGGUGGGGUAAAGGCCUACCAAGGCGACGAUCUGUAGCGGGUCUGAGAGGAUGAUCCGCCACACUGGGACUGAGACACGGCCCAGACUCCUACGGGAGGCAGCAGUGGGGAAUAUUGGACAAUGGGGGGAACCCUGAUYCAGCCAUGCCGCGUGUGUGAAGAAGGCCUUAUGGUUGUAAAGCACUUUAAGCGAGGAGGAGGCUCUUUUGGUUAAUACCCAAGAUGAGUGGACGUUACUCGCAGAAUAAGCACCGGCUAACUCUGUGCCAGCAGCCGCGGUAAUACAGAGGGUGCAAGCGUUAAUCGGAUUUACUGGGCGUAAAGCGCGCGUAGGCGGCCAAUUAAGUCAAAUGUGAAAUCCCCGAGCUUAACUUGGGAAUUGCAUUCGAUACUGGUUGGCUAGAGUGUGGGAGAGGAUGGUAGAAUUCCAGGUGUAGCGGUGAAAUGCGUAGAGAUCUGGAGGAAUACCGAUGGCGAAGGCAGCCAUCUGGCCUAACACUGACGCUGAGGUGCGAAAGCAUGGGGAGCAAACAGGAUUAGAUACCCUGGUAGUCCAUGCCGUAAACGAUGUCUACUAGCCGUUGGGGCCUUUGAGGCUUUAGUGGCGCAGCUAACGCGAUAAGUAGACCGCCUGGGGAGUACGGUCGCAAGACUAAAACUCAAAUGAAUUGACGGGGGCCCGCACAAGCGGUGGAGCAUGUGGUUUAAUUCGAUGCAACGCGAAGAACCUUACCUGGCCUUGACAUAGUAGAAACUUUCCAGAGAUGGAUUGGUGCCUUCGGGAAUCUACAUACAGGUGCUGCAUGGCUGUCGUCAGCUCGUGUCGUGAGAUGUUGGGUUAAGUCCCGCAACGAGCGCAACCCUUUUCCUUACUUGCCA